This is a long non-coding RNA of Callorhinchus milii (elephant shark), 1338 nucleotides long. RefSeq lists it as uncharacterized. The record is from RefSeq and is a predicted model, not a curated record. Lineage: Eukaryota; Metazoa; Chordata; Chondrichthyes; Chimaeriformes; Callorhinchidae. The transcript is spliced from 2 exons.
GCUAGAGUUCAUUUCUCACUUGACCCUCAUGGGAAUUGUGUUCCACAUGAGCUGUUACAGUCAAUGGCUGUGACUCCUUCAUGUGAGUUAGCCUCCAGUGGUAGCUAAAUAUGGACUGGUAGCAACUGGGUUAAAAUUUGUUCCAAUUUAGAAAUCUGAAAGGCUGCUGUGAACAAAAUCUGUGCAAUUUGUAUAUACAGGUGCAAUUGGCAACACUGUGCUCAUAUUAGACAGAUUAGAGGGCUGGGCUCCGGUUGGAAUGGCAAUGGGUUGUAUUUUCAGUUUCCCACUUUUCCCACAGAAAUUCAAACCUUGAAGUGCAACCAGAUCCUCCCAGGAAUCAAGCAAAGACCUGCAACGUCCUAUGAAGCAAGACCCAUUGAUGCUGCUAUUGCCAUGCUAAGGAAGUGCAAUGGUUGAGUUUCUCUCGACUGUUUCUUAUCCAAACUCCAAGGGCAACUCCUGUCCUCCACUCAGUGCCUUUGAACAGCAAUGCAACUUAGAACGAGAAUAGAACAGUGUAGAUAGAGGAAAUUUAACAUGCAUUAUCCCAGACUAUACUGGGAGUGUUUCAGUGCACUGCUUUCUACCUUUAUGCGACUCUGAAGCUAGCAGUAUUUUUAAAUAAAUGAUUUUGUAAGGAAGGUUGAUAGAAAAUAACACUGUUCAAAUAUCUUACAGGUGCCAUCAAAGAUACUUGUCAAGCUUUUGAUCAUAAAAUUAGAAGCAUUUCUUCCAUUGGCAACUGAUUACUGUAUUUUUUUAACAAAAAAACCUUUAACCUAGAUGAUUUUGUAAGAAAUAAUGAUUUUUUUAAAAAAAAAUGUCGAUUUCACGAACAACUAAGAAAACGGAUUAUUAGAUGGCAAAACUUUGGUAUCAACUGGGUUUUACAACAGUUUUGAUUUAUCUACCUCGUGGUGGUUUGCAGGUCAAACCUUCUGAUGGCUGAAACCACUGACUGAUUGCAUUAAUCUCAACACGCACUUUUAUGUACACCUUGCACUAUGAAAUUUAAUAGAUUUCUCUCAUAUUUCUGUUACAACAAUAUUUUUUACUACUUUUGAAAUAAUUUGUGGUUUUAUUUUCUAUGAUCAGUUUUAAUAUUGUAUAAUGUGUGUGUGUGUGUGUGUGAAAUUAUGUUUUAACAUUUUUAAUUGUGUUCUAAUCAUUUUAGUUUGGUUUACAUGUGGGAUUUUAUUUGUUUUUGCUCUGUUUUGUAUUAAACUUUAAUAUGGAGUGUGACGAGCUUUUUCAGGAAGAUAUCUGAAGCUGAACUCUACAAUUGUGUGUUCGUUUUUUAGAUUUACGACUGCUAAAUAAAAUAGUUUUAAGACA